Long non-coding RNA from Vigna unguiculata (cowpea), 3357 nucleotides. Lineage: Eukaryota; Viridiplantae; Streptophyta; Magnoliopsida; Fabales; Fabaceae. The record is from RefSeq and is a predicted model, not a curated record.
AAAGCACACUUAGCUUUACGACCCAGAAAAGGAGAUUUCAAACAACAUAAGUCUAGCUUAGGAAAUUGCGUGGUUAGUAACCCCAUUCUAUUUCUCUCUCUCCUACUACUUCUUCUACUACUCUUACUCUUUCUCUUACCCCUACCAACCUACCUUUCCUCCUUCUGUUCCUCUCUAUAUUUAGUGACAGACCUUCGCUUCAGGGUGCAACCACAACCCCACAAUCUUCCUUCUUUCCCUCUCAAAACCCCACUAUUAUUAGCCACACCUUAAUCCCCUUACCUUUGCUUCUUUUGUGCCAAUUCAUUAGGGUUUUAGUGGGGCUUUCAACCCACUUACUUUCAUCCUCCAUAUAUACCUCCUCCAUCCCCUUCACUCUUACUCUCUACAACUCUCCCUUUCUCUCCACAUUCAUCAUCAUGCUCAUGCACCUACCUAUCUAUCUAUCAUAUAUUCAUGCAUUUCAUUCAUUACUUCACCCUAAUUUUCUUUUCUCUUCUGCGUCUAUCUAUCUUUUAAUUCAUCAAUUCAUCAUCAUGCAUACAUAUGUCUAUGUGCCUGGCUCCCUGUAUGCCAUUUGCAGAGCUCAUCGAACCGUCAAUGACCUCCGUGGAUGGCGUAUGAGGAGCCAAGCAUAUUCCAUGUACAUACAUGGAGAGGAUCAUCAUGAUCAUGUGGUUUAGAUUAAUUUUAAAUGGAUGAUGAUAAUACAAGGUUGAGUUAUAUAUUUUGUUCUAUAGUUGGGUUUUCUUUGGUUUUGUUAUAUUAAUCAUGAAUUGUACCUACUGUUGGAGGUCAUAUAUAGAUAUAUAUACAGUCUAUAUAUAUAUAUAUAUAGGCCAAUUAUUCAAGAAAAGCACGGCAUUGUCAUUUUCAAAGGCACAGGUUGUGCUUCCUCAGGACUGAACAAAGACUGUUGUUAAACGGGGGAAACAUAUUCCAUCAUUUACCAGCUGGGGGCUCACAUGUGGGUUUGUAUUUUUGCUUUUUUUCUCUGUUGUUUAGUUUCAAUCUGAUAAUCAUUUUUCACUACACUUGAAACGAGGGCAUGGGAAAACAGCAAGAACCCCAAGUUACCGUAAAUUAGAACUAUUCCUGACAAUUAACAUGGAAGUUAUAAAAAAUUUACUUGCUCACCCUUCUUGUUACCAUGCUUGUCUGUCUCGUGGACAUUUCAUAUGACCUCUGAUUAUACCAACAAUAGCCUCAAAAGAAGCAACACUGUGUCAUAUACCAUACAGUUACAUACAGCCAUCUAUUUAUUAUUUUAUUUUACUAGUCUUUAGCCAUUAAAUAUAUUUAUAUAUGGAACAAACUUGCUAGCUACAUAAUCUCUCUGCUGUUUUUUUUUUUCUAAUCAUUGAUAGUUUGGAAGAAAACAAUUUCGAUUUGGUAUUUUUUUUAUUAUUAUACAUAUUAUUAAUUAAUCGUAUAUAUAUAAUGUUACAAGCUAUUUUCAUGGGAUUUUUUUUUUUUUGAAAUAUGAUUAAAUUAACAAAGACUUAAAAUAAGCAGUGCCCAUCAUAACAUCCUCAUUCUCCUGAAUAACAAAUUUUAAUUGGUUCUAUUUUCUUCAGUGUAAAUUCCUUGAUUUCAUUUUACAUUAAUAAGAGCCAUUAAGAUUUGAAUGCAUAUUUAAUGAAAUUAAUCAAAAAAUAAAAUCAGUGCUUUUAUUGAGGGUUUUACUCUUAUCUUUGUCUUACAUUUCACCCAGAUGACCUAUAUGAUUAUCUAACUUUAGGUUAAAAUGAAGCGACAAUGUAUUAUAAACAUAUGCAGUAUAUAACAAAAUCAACAUGCUUACUACUACAGUAUCACGAAUAUUUUGCGGUUAUUUAGUCAUUUCCUUUGCAUGAUGUCUAUGUUGUUUUUAACAGUAAUGUUGUCUUUAAAUACAUUUCACCUAGCUCAAAGAUUGAAUACCAAUUAAUGAACACUUUGCAGCAGAAACAAAACUGUUACACUUUUGCAACAGUAGUCUAUUUAUUUCUUUUGUCCUUAGCCACGUUUAACCCCGUUCAGACAUUGGUUACCACUAGAUAUACAACGCUGUGCAGUUGCAGCUCAUCAUCUGUCACACUCUCUGUGAAACGAACAUUUUCAAAGGUUUUAAUCAGUUGCGUGAUCAAUAUUGCUUUGUAACAGUAAUUUAUUUCUUUACGUUCUUUAAGACUUUUUACCCCCUCAGACAUUGGUCACCAAUUUACCAUAACCCUUUGAAGCAACGAGAAGACACAAGGGUAGGGUAGAAUCUGGAUAUUGAAGAAGCGGGUGUUGGCUAUAUUGCUGAACUUGUAGAAAAAAAAGAAAUACAAUUAUUUAAAUAUAUACAUAUGAUCUGAGUUAAGAUAUGUAAAUGAAGAAGCAUGAAUGUGGUAACAGUGGUGUAUGAAUGGUUGAAGAGAGGUAAAAUGAAUGGUAUGAUUGUUAUUAUUGUUAUUCUUGUUGCUUAGCCUUAUAUGUGUAAUGUGUAAUGGAAGGUGAAAGUGCAGGUAUGAGAGACAUUGAGGUUGUGAAUGGGUAGGUUGUGGUAGUAGUGUUAAUGAAUGAUUCACACUGAACUGAGUUUUUCACUCUUUGAGCUUAGGUAGGUGUCUGUGAUACACACGCAUGUCUGGCCAGGGCUUGAAGAAAGUAAAAAAGGCAAGGAUCCUGGGAAAAGUAAAAGCAUGAUUGUAGCAGCUGGAGGAUUAUCAUUAUAGCCACUGGGGAAUCUCAUACAAAAAGGAAUGGACCACUCUCUCUCUCUACUUUCAAUUGGUUUGCAGGGAAUAUGGUAUACGGUCAAAGCAGGUCAAAAGCUUACAAUAGGACAUUAUUGGUCAGGCUAUUGUGGGACCACCCACAUCCUAACAUCUCCUGGGGAAAUCAAUUCUAGGAUUUUGUGUUUUUCUUCUCCCCCUCAACAUUUCACUGCACUCCUCUCCAAAUUCUUUCUUUUAUUACCAUAAUAACCAUUGCAAUCACUCUAAUCUUCAAAACUAGAACACCACUUAAUCUCUAAGGAUCUGCUAAUUGUAACUGUAAUUCAACCUUAAUAAUGUCUUUAUAUGGGUUUCAUCGUGAUAUAAGAUUAGAGAAACUUAAGGUUGCAACUGCAAUGUUUUGUAACCUGUGGUUAUAUCGGAAAAAGAAAGAGAUAGAGAGAGAAUAAAAUUAUUAGAGUAAUCAUAUGAUGUAAGAUGCUGGCUUGGCCCGCUUCCUCAGUGUUUGAUGCCUCUGCUGGCAGAUUAAUUGUACUCUUCGGUCUGAGAAAGUAGAUUCUAUACUAUUCCUGUCUCACUUUGGCCAUGGGAAUAUCAUUUGCUUUUUUUACAUCUAAGGAUGAAUAAUGAAUUUCACUUUACAUCUUCUUAA